CCGAGUGAGGGCCCUCUGGGUCCAACCUCCCACCCGUGUUUAUUUACCUUGUUGCUUCGGCGAGCCUGCCUUUUGGCUGCCGGGGGACGUCAGUCCCCGGGUCCGUGCUCGCCGGAGACACCUUAGAACUCUGUCUGAAGAUUGUAGUCUGAGAUUAAAUAUAAAUUAUUUA
Molecule: unclassified non-coding RNA, 172 nt
Filed under: uncultured Penicillium
Lineage: Eukaryota; Fungi; Ascomycota; Eurotiomycetes; Eurotiales; Aspergillaceae
Description: sequence contains ITS1
Source: RNAcentral